GGGGUGAAUAUUCAUAUAUUCAUGUUCAUAUACCGUAAAAACAAUCCCUUUCAAAAGAAAUUCGUCGGGCAGAACACAAAUAUAUGAAUAUAGUUACACUGCCCCCCCCCCCCUAAUUAUCGAUCUAGCUACGGCCCUAAUAAAGCAGAAAUACCAAACUUUAAGAUAUAAAACUAUAUUAAACAUUAGAUCUGGAUUCUGGAAUAAAUCUUAUAAUAAAGCCUUAUGAUAAUACCGGGUGGCCCAAAAAAAAGUACUCCUG
Non-coding RNA from Paramuricea clavata, 262 nucleotides. NCBI's taxonomy places the organism in Eukaryota, Metazoa, Cnidaria, Anthozoa, Malacalcyonacea, Plexauridae. The record is from the annotation of a GenBank genome assembly.